Phyllopteryx taeniolatus (common seadragon) is the source of this 3529-nucleotide long non-coding RNA. RefSeq lists it as uncharacterized. The record is from RefSeq and is a predicted model, not a curated record. NCBI's taxonomy places the organism in Eukaryota, Metazoa, Chordata, Actinopteri, Syngnathiformes, Syngnathidae. The transcript is spliced from 3 exons.
ACAUGAGCGGCAUAAUGUGUGAUUAACAACGUUUACUUACAUCCAGCAUGUGUGUGGAAAAGCCGAUCUGGGACAUCUCCAUGUGGAAGGAGCUCUGGUUGCCCAGUGUCCCUGAGUGUGGACGAAGAGUACAGGGCAUCUGCGCAUUCCUUUGCAAUGGUGCCACGAUGGAGAGGAAGCUUACACGACCAACACACGCACAGACUGACCAGAAGCCGCACCCUGUUUGUCUGCAUGAAACUUGCACUCAGUGGGACCUGCUUGCGCUUGAGUCGCAGUUGUGCGCCAGUGACAUACGGCCGUGUGAUCUGCGUGGCCAAACGAACGCAUCGAAGACGGGUGGAAUUAAAUAAAAGGAGUGACUGUUCCAAUGGGAAGCUUCUGCUUGAUGUUGACGCUUCACUUUGUCAUCACUACCUUGUUUCCCUCUGCUGACGGAACUUUGGAAUUUCUUUCAUCAUUGAUUGAUUUCAGUAUAUUCUUACAUAACUGUAAAUCUCACAUAAUCUACUCGCAAAAAAAUAGGGAUAAAGGGAUGUUUGAAUAAAUGUGUUAUUUGUACAUCUUGUUCUACAAGGAGCUGAACAGCAAAAUUCACCACUGAUUUUUUUUUUCCUCAAGGAUGUCCACUUGUAUACCUUUCUGUGACUCUUCCAGUCUCUCUGUAUCUCUGUUGACAGUCUGUGACACUAAUCUUAGUGGUCACCUGCCUCUGAGAACAUCCUGUUGUCAGGUUUCAUGUUGGUCUCAUGAACCAGGAAAUGUAUUGGGCCAUUCGUGGAUCAAACACCUGUUGUGAAUUUUGCCAUUCAGCUGUUUGUUAGAGAACAGCAAGUUGGGCAAAAAGUACUGAACCAUUGAACAGGUGGACACUUAAAAGUUUAGAGAAGGUCAACUUAAGUUCAUUUGUAAAGGUUAAAGUGCAUUUUUAGGUUCCCUCUGAAAUUUCAUCUGGAAGAAGAGAGGAAGAGUUUUUUUGUGAGUAGUCAAUGUGACCUAAAUGACUAAUGACUGGUUAGACAGUUGAGUAUGUUUGUGGUUGGGGGAAUAGUUCCUGUUUGAUUAAAUCAAAGGAUGAUGAAGUCAGACAAAACCAUCUUCCUGGGAUAAGGGAAAACUGGUAGAUCACAGUCCAUAUUUAGUGAUGUUAAUGGGGCAUGACUUACACAGGUGUAAAAGAGAAGCUCAGAGAAGUAGUCUUUGAACAGGCAAUGUAUAAACUACUUUUAUUGUAUGGCUGUCGUUCCUUCAUGCAAGAAUGUUACAUCAUCUUUAAGCUUAUCCAGGUCCCUUUGUCAUUUUAGAGCAAAUGAAAAUGAAAAUACUGGUUUUGGCACACGUGUGCAAUCUUAGACAUAAAAAGAUUGAAGUAUUUGCGGCACAGUAAAGUGCUCUCAAGUUUCACAUCCUCCUCGAAGAGUAGUCUACAUCAGCGACAUGUCACACAGAUUACUCCGCAAAUCCAUGUAGGAAAGAGAUGACAGAAACUGUUUGGAAAAUGCAGCAGUGUGGAUGUGGAUUGGACGAGUGUUAUGUGUCAGGUCCUUUAAGGGGCCUAUCAGUAUUUGUAGGUUGUUGUGGCAGUUCCUGUUCAUGCAGACCUGCGAAAAUUACUCAGAAGAAACACUGUAAUAUACAUGCUAGAACAGUAGGUGGCGAUGGCACUUUCAUGCCGGAUGUCAUUCCUGCCCUGUUGCGUCGAAAGCAAUCGUUGCUGUCCGGGAAGUAUUUUAAAUGUUACCUGAGACGCUGGCUGAGGUCAUCUAAUUAGGUGACUUUGGUGUGUGCAAGUGUCCACAUUUGCAGCAGUUGCUGUGUAAACUAGGCAAGUGUCUAGCGCAUACAACACAAUAAUUGUCAAGUGUGUGUGUGUGUGUUCCGGGUUUUGUCUUCCCCCCUGUUUCACACACACCUGCUCCUGUGAGCAUCUUCACCACCUGUGCCUCGUUCACCCUAAUUACCCGUUGUAUAUAACCUCGUGUCUCAUUUCCUCUCGUUGCCAGUUCGUUGUACCUUGUUGUCGCGUUCCAGCAUUCCUUGUUUCCACGUCAUAGACUCACAGUAAGGCUUGACCCUGUUCCGAUUAUCGACCUUGUCUCUUUGCCUCAUGUUUUUGGAUACUGUUGCCUCUUUUGGAUUGCCUGCCUGUGUACCGACCUAUGCCCGUCUAUUAAACCUCUCUUUUUGGAAACUGUCCAUCUGUUUUGGAGUCGUGCAUUUUUGGGUCCUAUCCGCUGUUCCGUUCAUGACAAUAAUAGCUUUUUGUUCCGCUAAACACGCCCAGAUUUCAUUCUAAGUACAUUUGUCAGUAAAUUAAGAUAAAAUCACCAUAAUCAUAAUUCAGUGGUACUGUACCUUUAUAGAAAACUUCCUUGGGUUAAAGCAAGAUGAAAAGGUAUUUCCUUUCAAACAGGAAAAGACAAACUCAAAUUAAUUGGACUCCACUUUUACUAAACGAUGUCAUCACGUGACGGUAAGUAUUGGUAACAUAGGUCUCGAGCGUGAAACUGCGGUAAGCUGCGUCAGUGGAUUGUUGCUUUAAUUACUGCUGUCGUAAGGUAUUAUGUGUAACAUCUAGUUUCAUUUCGUAAAAAUUGGUCAGGAGUAUCAUUUCCUCAGCGUGGGUUAGAGGUCACAUCAUGGCUCAUAAGCAUUUUUUCAGUCAUCUCUCUUGGAUAGGAAGGGAAAGGCAAGUUCCUAAACAAAAAGAAAUUGAAUCCCAAGAGCCCCUCGGCUUGAUUACACUUAAAUAAAACCAGGUUAUUUUUUUACAUUCUCUUUUAAUAAGUUUUCAUAUUUUACAAUACAGUGCUUGUUUUCUUUAUAUUAAAAACAAAAAAAAAAUGGUCGUGUUUUUUGGGGGCUGGAACAGCUUAAUGGUAUUUCACUUCAUUUUCAUGGGGAAAAAUUAUUUGAUAUAAUUCAGUUAUGAGCUUGAUCACAGAACAAGUAAACUGUACUGGAUGUACUGUAUAUAGUGUACUGUAUAUACUGUCUAUGUGACAUUUUUGUUCGGUAUUGUGCCGUGAGAUUUUUCAAAUGUAAAAUACUGUAUGUACCUUGGCUCAAUAAAGGUUGGGAAACUGAUCUAAGUUAUCUAAUGUAUGUUGCUUUAUCUAAAUGCCACAGGGGUGGUGAUUUCGGCGAGUCAUUUUUAGAAAGAAAAAAUGAUUUGUCAUCGUCUCUCGCCUUCUUCCUAGUGUUCAUUUUGUAUUUAGGAAUUUUAAAUGAUCUUUUAUGGUCUAUUCUACCUCAGAUUUCUCAAGUUUAUUAUUGGGACAAGGUUGAUGACCUGGCGUGUCCGAUUUGAGGUGAAAGGAGAUCAGUGAGUCAGUGCGGUCGAUGAGAAGACAUGAAGUUUGUGCGUGUGUGUGCGUGCCGUGUGUGUCUAUGUAUUUUGACAGCUGCGGGAGUGCAGCUUCGCUGACCAGGCGCUGCCACACCUGCAGCCGUGCUGAGCCAGCAGCCAGCGACUCCUGUUUGCUUGCCUCAGUGCCAACCCUGCUAUCACUACCUAUAUGUCUGUGUG